ACACUCCUGCGGGAGGCAGCAGUGGGGAAUAUUGGACAAUGGGCGCAAGCCUGAUCCAGCCAUGCCGCGUGAGUGAUGAAGGCCCUAGGGUUGUAAAGCUCUUUCACCGGAGAAGAUAAUGACGGUAUCCGGAGAAGAAGCCCCGGCUAACUUCGUGCCAGCAGCCGCGGUAAUACGAAGGGGGCUAGCGUUGUUCGGAAUUACUGGGCGUAAAGCGCACGUAGGCGGAUCGAUCAGUCAGGGGUGAAAUCCCAGGGCUCAACCCUGGAACUGCCUUUGAUACUGUCGAUCUGGAGUAUGGAAGAGGUGAGUGGAAUUCCGAGUGUAGAGGUGAAAUUCGUAGAUAUUCGGAGGAACACCAGUGGCGAAGGCGGCUCACUGGUCCAUUACUGACGCUGAGGUGCGAAAGCGUGGGGAGCAAACAGGAUUAGAAACCCUGGUAGUCCCAUGAU
Molecule: ribosomal RNA, 452 nt
Filed under: uncultured organism
Description: partial 16S ribosomal RNA
Rfam family: Bacterial small subunit ribosomal RNA
Source: RNAcentral